AGUGUGUAACAUUGUAACAUUGAAGAGUAGUUUCUUGUCCCGGGAGGUCCUGCUGGGCAGUGCUGGGGCCAGGCCUGGGUUUCACUCUCCCUUGAAGGUUGUGAUGAUCCAGUCUGCUGGCAGAAAAGCUCCAACAUGCUGGGCAGGCAGGGCUUCCAGAAGCUGCGUGCUGGCUACACUCUAGGCUGCGACACUCCUGAUAAUCCCAAAGCUACUGGAUGAGAGGGAGUUUCACACGGCCUGUCAAAUCCACGGGAGAUUGGAUUGCCACCUGAUUGGGAUUCCGCUGUGUGGACAGAUCGCUGUGGAAGACUGUGGUGGUUCACAGCCUUUCCUCACAGAAGAACCGGGCAUCUCUGUCUCCACUUGCUCAGAUCUUCUUUUAUGCCGCAGUAGAGUUUACAGCCAUCCACAGCAUGGGUUCUGUCUGCGUGUCUGUUGGAUUUAUUUUCCUUAGGGGGCUUCAGCUUCUCUGGCCACUGUCAACAGGCAGCUGCUUUUACAUGGUAGAUUUGUAGGCCUGCCCUGCCCUGACUGCAUCAGUAAGCUCUCUUGAGUUUUCCUUGCUCCCCACACCCUCUGGUUCUCUAGACCUCAUUGUAUUCUCAGUGAGCCACAAUAUCAUUUGACCCGGUACCUGCAGUUUUUUUUUUUUAAUACUGUACUGACCUAGCUCCUUGUGAGGAUUAGAAGUGGGGUGUGGGUAUCCUCAUGUUGCUCCAACUUUAACGAGGUCCUCAGAUGCCGCUCAGAGCACAGCUUUCUCUGUUCCUACUUCCUAAGGAAUCCCCAGGCCGGCUGGGGUGAGUUAUCAAAUGCUACUUGGGUGUGUCCUAAACCUCUGCCUUUUCUACCUGAGUGAAUUAUAGCAACGACCUCAGUGGAUUCCGAACAUCAGGUGCCCAUGUAGUAAUUUCUGUCGUCAUCCUCCUCCCUCAGGGUCCUGGCUUCUCCAGGCUGACCCUACUUUCCCAAGCUCGUAUCUCCUUCUUACAAAUGUCUCAGCUUCGGCAGGUAGAGGGUGGUCCCUGCUCUGCCCGUGGUGCCUGGUUGCCUUUCUGGUGUCUAGAUGUAUACUUUCUACGAUGUGCACAUAUCCACUCACACGAGUUCAUGGGUUUGAAAGUUUACCCACGUGGCAAAGUGGCAGCGAUAGUGGCAGCUUCCUUUUUUUUUUUUUUUUCAAGCAACAUCCAACUUUCUUAGUGUGGUGGUUGAUGGCAAUCCAGCUAGCUUUAGCUGACUGGGUCAAGAAGGCAUGGCGUCUCAUCUCUUCCCAGGGAUGGGACUCUCAGCCUGUCUCUUCUGCCUGACGGGCAGCAAUGUCUGAUGCCCCGCUGCGUGUUUGCCACCUGGAGUCUGCGAAUGCAGGCCCUCAGGACAACACCCUCUGGCUGGGAGGGCAACCUUGGACCCUUGGGGUUCGUAUGGACAGAGCUCCGAACAGUUCUUGGUAGGUGACAGGUGUUUGGUGAACCCAACCCGCGAGCGUGCUGAACGAUCAUGAUUAAGAAGCGAGCGGGCUGUCUCGAUGGUAAUGUCAAUUUACCCUCCAGCCAGAACUUCUCAGAGCUUCCGGUUCCACGGAUUCACAGCAGCACUUGGGAACCCACGUAUCUCACGCCACCGCCAUGUGUGCUGACAGCCUUGUUCUGGCUCUCCCUCCUGCUGCAUGUCUCCAUCCCUGAACCGUAACUUGUUCCCUUUAGAGACCUGAGCUUUACAACUGUGCCGUGCCAAGUGCUGCUCAGAGCUCUGUUGACAUGGACCUCAAGAGACCACAACACCUCCUUCCAAGCUUCUGUCCCACCUACAGGGUCUUGACAUCCAGAAGGGAAGAUCUCAUUUGUCUUCAGGCAUAUCUUGACUAUUUUCGGACCACGGCUAUUCAAUAAUCUAAGAGAGAAAGAGAGAGUCAACUACACUGACUAAGCCAGUUAAGUGUAUAUAUGAGCCCUUUAAUUUUGACUGGCAACCAAGAGUGGGCUAAUGUCUCAGAGUCUUUUCAUGCUGAAUAUCAGGGGCACAGAAUUUUUAAAAGACAAAACCCAUGAGGAUCAGGGUGACUUUAAAGCAUUCAUUCUUGACAGAGCAUAAGCGAUUGUUUCAGACAAAAAUAAUGGCAACUAUUUUUGAUGUAUACCUUCUUCAUUUAUCCUAGUUGAUAUUGUUUGUAUAAAUGUUAUUUUAGUUACUAUAUCUGACCACGGUCAAGGUCAUGGAAAUCUCAAGUGUUGCCAAGGCAGAGGGGAGAAGAGGGCUGAGAACUAAGCAAACACAAAUGGAGUCAGAACAAGAUGGCCUUACCUUGGUCACUUCACUAUGAUCUAUUAAUUUUAUGAACUAGCUUGGACUAGAUUGAAAACUCAUUUAAUCUUUGUAUUAACUUAAAGAGAAUUUUCAUUAGCAGUGACUCUUUCCAUCCGUGGAGAUGGUUUAUCUGUUCCUAUAUUAAAGUCUUCCUUCAAGCCUUCCACCACAGUCUAGCUGUUCCCUUCCAAGCCAACAUUGCUACUGUAACCUUGGGAACGGUGAUUUGUUCUCACAUCUGGCUUCUUAUUACAUCACCUUUACUAUCUAUCUCUCAUUUUUGCUAUUUCUUAUGCUGAAUUUAUUUUCUUCAACUCACUGGACUCCGGUGGAUUCUAAUUGUUUUCAGUAGAUUACAUUGAAAAUUGCACAGCUUGGGAUAAGGCAGGAGAGAUGUCUCAGUGACUAAGAAUGCUGACUGCUCUUGUAGAAGAUCUGGGUUCAGUUCCCAGCAUCUGCAUGGUGGCUCACAACCCUCUGUAACUCCAGUACCAAGGGAUCCAAUACUCUCUUUGGCCUCUGCAUGCACCAAACAUGCGCAUGGUACACAAACGUACACGCAGGCAGAACAUUUGUACACAUAAGACAAAAAUAAAUGUUUUUAAAAUGCCCUUUCUUUUCGUUGCCACCCUUUGCUGCUGGGCUCUCCAGCACACCGAAGGCAGAGGGCAGAGUCAAUGUGAAAGGGCAGUGCUGGAUUGUAUCAUGAUAGAUACUGUUCUCAUGUCCAUCUAAGGAAAUGCUCUGUGUUCUUUGGUUGCUCCCCUCAGACCCUGGGUUAGCAUCCGUGGGCCCUCGUGCUUGCGUGCACCAUCUUAUGCUGCUAUUAUCAGCGCUCAGCACUGCGGUCCACAGUCUCCCUUUGCUGUUAUUCGGUCCUCAGUCUCUCUCUGAGGUCAACCAGAGCGCUCAGCACUGCGGUCCACAGUCUCCCUCCGAGGUCACUCAGAACAACUUGCAUUGUCUCAUGCACACAGCCUGGCCCUGCAUUCUUCAUGUGUUCAGUUUUGUUUCCUUCUGGUCCACGCAUACCUCUCACCAGUGCAUUGUGGGAAAGCUCCCAGGAUGCUCAGGAUCUGACUAUUGUUUUCCUCUUCUCACUUGAGAUGUUGUGUUGCACUGUGUGUUGUCUGGACUGUGUAUUUGUGAGCACACUGGCACCUGCCUCACCACAGUGCCUUUAUAGUCUUUCUCUUCCAGACUGCUUUUACAAUGUGUACUUUAAUGAUAGUAUUGUUAAAAGGCAGUGUUGGAUGAUUGACACAAAAUAAACUGCACAGGGCGGC
This 3596-nucleotide long non-coding RNA is filed under the name Mus musculus (house mouse). RNAcentral describes it as "RIKEN cDNA E330035G20 gene (E330035G20Rik)". Lineage: Eukaryota; Metazoa; Chordata; Mammalia; Rodentia; Muridae. The record is from RNAcentral.